AACGAACGCUGGCGGCAUGCCUAACACAUGCAAGUCGAACGAUACCUUCGGGUCUAGUGGCGCACGGGUGCGUAACGCGUGGUAACCUGCCCUUAGGUUCGGAAUAACUCCCCGAAAGGGGUGCUAAUACCGGAUAAUGUCUUCGGACCAAAGAUUUAUCGCCUUUGGAUGGGCCCGCGUUGGAUUAGCUAGUUGGUAGGGUAAAAGCCUACCAAGGCGACGAUCCAUAGCUGGUCUGAGAGGAUGAUCAGCCACACUGGGACUGAGACACGGCCCAGACUCCUACGGGAGGAAGCAGUGGGGAAUAUUGGACAAUGGGCGAAAGACUGAGCCAGCAAUGCCGCGUGAGUGAUGAAGGACUUAGGGUUGUAAAGCUCUUUUACCCGGGAUGAUAAUGACAGUACCGGGAGAAUAAGCGCCGGCUAACUCCGUG
RNAcentral lists this ribosomal RNA (433 nucleotides) under uncultured bacterium. RNAcentral's name for it is "partial 16S ribosomal RNA". It matches the Rfam family "Bacterial small subunit ribosomal RNA", at positions 29 to 507 of the family's 1533-position model. The record is from RNAcentral.